This is a long non-coding RNA of Myiozetetes cayanensis, 651 nucleotides long. RefSeq lists it as uncharacterized. The record is from RefSeq and is a predicted model, not a curated record. The transcript has 2 exons. NCBI's taxonomy places the organism in Eukaryota, Metazoa, Chordata, Aves, Passeriformes, Tyrannidae.
GGCGCCGCCGCCGCCUCCGCCCGCGCCGGCCGGCCGGCACACCGACAGCCACACCGGCACACCGACAGACACACCGACACCCACACCGACGGCCCCCGAAGCCCGGUUGAAGCGGUGGAGGUGGCUCCAGAGAGCAGAGGCCGAGGCACCCACAGACCAGCGUAACCACGAAGGCACUGGAGGCUUUCCCUUACAAACAAGUAAACCUUGUUUCAAAUGCAGUCCCUUAUUUAUCUGCACUUCCUCUAGGAACAACCCCAAACCCUAGUGAACAGAUUCACAAAGCAUCUUUCUCCUGCCUGUGAAAUGUCACUGUUUUCACUGAAGCCAAGGAGCUGUUCUGUGCUGGUGACGUUGUGUACGUAUGAAAACGGAAACUUCUCAGGAUGUUCAGACUCUGAAACUGUGAGUCUGCAGAAUUCCCAACCAGUGCGGGUUUUUCCAGUCAUUGAAAUAAAAUCUACAUUGCUGUAAUUAGUUAAUAUUUGUAAAGCCCCUAAGAUUGCAGAAUAAAUGGCUGAAAGAAAUUCCCCUGGUUAUUAGAUAAAUGUGCUAAUAAUAACGGCGAUGGCUGGUGAGGACACAUCGCUGCUAAUGAUGUACAAUUAAUUUCCUUGAGGCUGUGCUAAUAAACAAAACCUGCUUUUCAAA